GCGCGCGUAGCUCAAUUGGAUAGAGCAACGGGCUUCGAACCCGUAGGUUGCAGGUUCGAGUCCUGCCGCGCGCG
RNAcentral lists this transfer RNA (74 nucleotides) under Phycisphaerales bacterium. RNAcentral's name for it is "tRNA-Arg". It matches the Rfam family "tRNA". From Rfam's summary of the family: Transfer RNA (tRNA) molecules are approximately 80 nucleotides in length. Their secondary structure includes four short double-helical elements and three loops (D, anti-codon, and T loops). Further hydrogen bonds mediate the characteristic L-shaped molecular structure. tRNAs have two regions of fundamental functional importance: the anti-codon, which is responsible for specific mRNA codon recognition, and the 3' end, to which the tRNAs corresponding amino acid is attached (by aminoacyl-tRNA synthetases). tRNAs cope with the degeneracy of the genetic code in two manners: having more than one tRNA (with a specific anti-codon) for a particular amino acid; and 'wobble' base-pairing, i.e. permitting non-standard base-pairing at the 3rd anti-codon position. Lineage: Bacteria; Pseudomonadati; Planctomycetota; Phycisphaerae; Phycisphaerales. The record is from RNAcentral.